GGACGUUUUGGGCGUUUUGGGGUCCCGUGCCCCGCCCAGCUGCUGGCCGUGCCCACGAUGGAGAACGGAGCCAAAGUGGCCACGAGGUUCCUGCGGGAGCUCAGCGACAUCCAGUACGGCCGCGUCCCCAGCCCGUGGGCCCAGCCCGUGUGACCCCCCCGGACGGGGCCGAGACCCCUCCCCAAAAUCCGCCGGCGCCGGGGGGGGAGGGGCCGGGACCCCCCAGAAUGAAC
Long non-coding RNA from Pyrgilauda ruficollis (rufous-necked snowfinch), 233 nucleotides. RefSeq lists it as uncharacterized. NCBI's taxonomy places the organism in Eukaryota, Metazoa, Chordata, Aves, Passeriformes, Passeridae. The transcript has 2 exons. The record is from RefSeq and is a predicted model, not a curated record.